Molecule: long non-coding RNA, 2496 nt
Organism: Bubalus bubalis (water buffalo)
Lineage: Eukaryota; Metazoa; Chordata; Mammalia; Artiodactyla; Bovidae
Exons: 4
Source: RefSeq, a predicted model, not a curated record
CCGUCUCUGGGGUCGCACCGAGUUGGACACGACUGAAGUGACUUAGCAGCAGCAUAUACCAUCAUGAUCAAGCAUGCAGCCUGUGGAAUCACACUGCCUGAGUUAAAAUCCAGGUUUUUGCCAGUUAGUAGCUGGAUAAGUUAACAAGUUAUCUGAACAUCUCAGGCCUCUGUUUCAUCAUCUGUUAAGUGGGAAUAAUAAUAAUUGUACCUACCUCUAAGGUAUUUGGAGGGUUUGAUAAGAUACACAAAGACUUUGGUGUAGUGCUUGGCUCAUUGUUAAGUACUUUAUACAUGUUACUUUUUCUUUUUUUCCAUUCUCCUGCUCCCCCCUGCCCCCACUGCCACCAAUGAGAAAGAUCGUGGCAGAAAAAUCCUCAUUCUGCCCAAAACCAAGGGUGACAAAGGAGACAGCAUCUAGUCCAUGGAAAUUGAAUAAUUGCAUUUUCCUUUUAAGUGAGAGGAUGCAGUAAAGAAUCUAAUUUGCAUGCAGGAUCUUAGUUCCCUGACCAGGGACUGAACCCAUGCCCUUGAAGUGGAAGCACAGAGUCCCAACUACUGGACUACCAGGGAAUUCCCACUCAUCACCUUCUUAUAUGUAGCACCUUAAUGAUCAUCCAAAGACUGUGGAUCUCAGGAUUGUCCAUUGGAAAAAAUACAACCAUUGUAUAUGUGCUGUGCUUAGUCACUUCAGUAGUGUCCGAUGCUUUUCGACCCCAUGAAAUGCAGCCCUCCAGGCUUCUCUGUCUAUGGGGAUUCUCCAUGCAAGAAUACUAGAGUGGGUUGCCUUGCUCUCCUCCAGCGGUUCUUCUCAACCCAGGGGUUGAACCCAGGUCUCCCAUAUUGCUGGUGGAUUCUUCACCAUCUGAGCUACCAGGGAAACCCCAAAUUCAAUAAUUUAAUUCUAUGCACUGCUCUCCCUACCCCCACCCAAAAUUCCAUCCCAUUUCUAAAAGUCAUGUGUGGACAGUUGAACAUCCUUUGGGACUCAGCACUACUUAAAAGCAGGAAAAGGACUCUUUACUAAACCAAUUCACCACAUUUAGAGACCAGCAACCUUUCUCUCAUAUGCCUAUUAUUUGGAGAAAUGAUUCAAGCUCAGGUAGCUGGUCAGCUGGUACCCUACCUGUCACUGCAACCUCCUGUUGCACACUCAUCAGCAGACCUGGCGUAAAGCGUCUCAGGGGGUCACGUGGCUGGGAGAAGAAGGAAGACACAGCUACCCCACAGAGACACCCCGUCCAGGUCUACAGGACAAGGAGGCAUUUUGUGACCGGUGGAAGACACAAGUGUCUCCUGUCACCUUCUUUGUAUACGUGAUGGUGAAAACAGGAGAAAAUGCACAGACCAGAAGACACCCAGACAGUGGGCUGUUCUCACUGACGACAUUUGUGCCGCAUUCCUCCUUGCCCCUGGAGUGCAUUGCGACACUCAGACUGGUGGUUCUGGGAGCCAAGCAGCUGAUGGGGGAGCCUCAGGAGGCAGCAGAGACAAAUUAAUCUUCAGAUCCACCAGUUCCCCUGAAACAUACCACUUGCUAAACUGAAUUUCAAGCCAAGAGCGGCAAUUUUCCACAGCCCAAGUCUGGAAAAGUCUGUGAAACCACAUUGGGUUCGAAACCAAAGUUGGUUUUUUGCUGUUUUUUGUGGAGCACCAGAGGGACAACUCCAGAAUUCCAGAUGUGAGGCAGCUGGAGGGACGUGUGUGUACAGGCAUCUGCACAGCAGCUUCAGAAAAGUGACCACGGACAGCAGCUAAAAACCACCACUGACAACCUUCUUUCUCUUUUCUUAUCUGAACCUCUGGACUUACUUGUCUGAAAAGAGAGAGAGAAAAAAAAAAGCUGGCACUCAUUGUUUUGUUUUCUCAAUUUUCUUGUCAACUGACUCAUGAUAAAAGAAUGUCCUUUUCAAUCAAUUUCAAUUCCGCAGAACAGAAAAAUAGAGAAUUUAUAGGCAACUAUUGGAAACAAAGGAACCAUCUGUUUUUUUAAGUAUAAUUUUUCUCUGAAAUAGUUCUCUCCAAAUACUUGGAUCAUUUAUUUUCCCUCACCACACCACUCUGCAGUGACCCAGAGAACCCCAUUGUCCAACCCAGAUUAUCAGAUAUUCUGAAGGGAUGAUGAAAUGUGUCAACAAAGACUCCAUCUGCUGUUAUAUAAGCAUCUCUAUGCUCAAUAAAAGAGAAUGAUUCUAAGCUCUAGUUAUAAAGAACCAUGACAAAAAAAAUAUGAAAAUUUUCUAGGCAAAAAAACAGGCUGUUAGUUUAUUUUAAAUAAAUAUUUUAGUGAGAGUGGUUUUGUUUCAGCAUACUGAAAAUACUAAGUCCUAGAUUAUGAACCACCCCCCCCAUUAUAUAAAUAGAUUAGAAGGGCAUGUUGGAUAUGAUCUCAUUCCUUCAUUUGCUCAUUCAUUUACUCAAAAAGUAUUUACAUUUCUUUAAUAUUUAAUGUAGUGCUUAAUAUAAUGUUGUAGAUAAUAAAUAUGACUUGAGUUUA